RNAcentral lists this ribosomal RNA (394 nucleotides) under uncultured bacterium. Its description in RNAcentral is "partial 16S ribosomal RNA". It matches the Rfam family "Bacterial small subunit ribosomal RNA", at positions 523 to 918 of the family's 1533-position model. The record is from RNAcentral.
AUACGUAGGGGGCUAGCGUUAUCCGGAAUUACUGGGCGUAAAGGGUGCGUAGGUGGUUUCUUAAGUCAGAAGUGAAAGGCUACGGCUCAACCGUAGUAAGCUUUUGAAACUAAGAGACUUGAGUGCAGGAGAGGAGAGUAGAAUUCCUAGUGUAGCGGUGAAAUGCGUAGAUAUUAGGAGGAAUACCAGUUGCGAAGGCGGCUCUAUGGACUGUAACUGACACUGAGGCCCGAAAGCGUGGUGAGCAAACAGGAUUAGAUACCCUGGUAGUCCACGCCGUAAACGAUGAGUACUAGCUGUCGGGGGUUACCCCCCUCGGUGGCGCAGCUAACGCAUUAAGUACUCCGCCUGGGAAGUACGCUCGCAAGAGUGAAACUCAAAUGAAUUGACGGGG